This is a long non-coding RNA of Hippocampus zosterae (dwarf seahorse), 315 nucleotides long. RefSeq lists it as uncharacterized. The record is from RefSeq and is a predicted model, not a curated record. The transcript is spliced from 2 exons. Lineage: Eukaryota; Metazoa; Chordata; Actinopteri; Syngnathiformes; Syngnathidae.
ACAUUGUUGUGGGUGUCAAAUUCAUUUCAUAUUGUGGGCCACAUACGGCCUCGGUUGAUGUCAAGUGGGCCGGACCAUUAAAAUUAUACCAUACUCUGCUAUGAAUAACCAAAAUAACAUGUCUUUAUUUUGUUUUGGUCUAAAGAAGCACAAGAACAUGAAAUAAAGUAUUCACAUGUCCUUGAUAGCGUCUGAUGUGUUGGGUCUGUCUCAGUAACACAUUGAGACUGCCGUUGUCUUCUACUCUGAUCAAAACAGUGUGUCCCCUAGCGGAUAUUUCAUGAAUUUCACCUUAUUCAAAAUAUACAUUCCGUG